AUUCAAGUAAACGAGAUCAUGUCUUACUAAAUUCUGACUAUUGUGUUCGCCUUUGUAGAUGCCCAGUUAUCAAAUUCAAGUUGCAUAUUUAAUACAUGCUCCAUUGAAAUAGCAACAACUCGAAAUAGCAAACCUUAGCCCUGCAACAUACAACUAAUGCGUAGCAAUUAGCAGUCGCAUCUACCCAAAGCUCAAUUUCCAUAUCUGAUUUUCUCUCAAGCAUGAACAAAUGCACACCAUUCAAUGGUCAAAUCCCUAGUUUCCAGUGGCUACCAUCUCCGACUAGAUCACUGACACAGCAACCAUGAAUCAUAGCGGCUAAUAUCACAAGCAACAAGGAGAAGAAACUGAUCCCAAGAAAGUAAAAGUGAAUCAAAAUUAUCCGUACGGAGAGGAGCUCCAGUGGAUAGAUGAGAUGCAGAACACCAUUAGCAGCCUGCCUUAUCAUAGGUGGAGCGCAUUAAUCACUGGUAGUAAGUCCAAAUGGAGUAUGGACUGUCCCAAACUCCGGCAGUAUCCUACUCUUUAACAUUGUCAUGUAGAGGGCUGAGAUCAAAGCACUAACAAAGCUAAAA
This 575-nucleotide unclassified non-coding RNA is filed under the name Hevea brasiliensis (rubber tree). The record is from RNAcentral. Lineage: Eukaryota; Viridiplantae; Streptophyta; Magnoliopsida; Malpighiales; Euphorbiaceae.